RNAcentral lists this non-coding RNA (30 nucleotides) under Homo sapiens (human). The record is from RNAcentral. Lineage: Eukaryota; Metazoa; Chordata; Mammalia; Primates; Hominidae.
GAGAAAUCAGAAGGCAGGGAAACCAAGAGU